AACUCUUCUCUUCCUCCUCACCUCUUCAACUGAUCCUGUCACUGAAGUACGUCUACUUCAGCUUCUCCCUUUUACAGUCGCGGUCAGAAUGCCGGGACGUUUGAGUGGUGGCAGUGACCGGAGUAAAAACGUGAUGAGCUUGUCCAGGUGAAAGGGUAAUAGCUUCAAAGAGGACUCUUCUCCAUUGGUGGAGGAAACCAGAGACCGGAGCAGUGAACCAAUGACCAGCCAUCUGACAUCUGACAACAUCUGACACCGAGGAGGAACUUUCUCAUCAAAUUAUUUUAAAUACAUUCUUAAUAUAUUUGACUAGUUCUAUUAAUGGAAUGUAUUCAUGAAAAACAUGGUGCAUUGAAGCUAACGUACGCUAAGAACAUUGAAGCUAACGUACGCUAAGAACAAGAACAAGACUAAAAAUAGAGACACAGUGAAAAUAAAUGUGUUGACUCCAUAUCUCUGUGGCUCCAACGCCGGUGGCCGUUCAU
Cynoglossus semilaevis (tongue sole) is the source of this 485-nucleotide long non-coding RNA. RefSeq lists it as uncharacterized. The record is from RefSeq and is a predicted model, not a curated record. The transcript is spliced from 3 exons. Lineage: Eukaryota; Metazoa; Chordata; Actinopteri; Pleuronectiformes; Cynoglossidae.